GACGAACGCUGGCGGCGUGCUUAAUACAUGCAAGUCAACUGAACUUGAGGUAGCAAUAUCACAAGAGAGGUGGCGCACGGGUGAGUAACACGUAGGUAAUCUGCCUUUAGGUCUGACAUAAUUCCGCGAAAGCGGGACUAAUAUCAGAUGAUGCAGCGGCUCGACAUCGAGACAGUUGUUAAACCUUCGGGGCCUAAAGAUGAGCCUGCGUCUGAUUAGGUAGUUGGCGGAGUAAAAGCCCACCAAGCCUGCGAUCAGUAGCUGGUCUGAGAGGAUGAUCAGCCACACUGGAACUGAGACACGGUCCAGACUCCGUACGGGAGCAGCAGUAAGAAUAUUGCUCAAUGCCGAAGGCUGAAGCAGCAACGCCGCGUGGAGGA
RNAcentral lists this ribosomal RNA (380 nucleotides) under uncultured bacterium. RNAcentral describes it as "bacterial SSU rRNA". It matches the Rfam family "Bacterial small subunit ribosomal RNA", at positions 28 to 408 of the family's 1533-position model. The record is from RNAcentral.